Molecule: small RNA, 145 nt
Filed under: Marmota monax (woodchuck)
Lineage: Eukaryota; Metazoa; Chordata; Mammalia; Rodentia; Sciuridae
Source: RNAcentral
AAAGGGAAGGUAAUAGCAUGGAGUGUUAUUGCUUUCAUGUUCCAAAGUAACUCACUUUAAAGAUGAUGGAGAUGACUAUUCAUCCUUAAAGUGAGUUACUUUGGAACAUGAAAGCAAUAACACUCCAUGCUAUUACCUUCCCUUU